Long non-coding RNA from Corythoichthys intestinalis (scribbled pipefish), 685 nucleotides. RefSeq lists it as uncharacterized. NCBI's taxonomy places the organism in Eukaryota, Metazoa, Chordata, Actinopteri, Syngnathiformes, Syngnathidae. The transcript has 2 exons. The record is from RefSeq and is a predicted model, not a curated record.
UCUUUGCAUAUUGAUAUUUUAGUUAUGUCUGUCUCUUAAUAGGGAAUGGGACGUACUACGUCAUUGUUUGGACCCGCCUCCAUGCUGGCAAUAUAAUUCACUUCCGGGCCGGCAGAGUCAAUGCGGAUUGUAACGUGUGAUAGUGCUAAGCUAACUCUUUCGGUGUUUUAGAAAGAAAAUAUGGGUGCUUUAUUGUUGCGUUACCGGGUGCAACAGCGUCUCCUACGACAAAAAAAGGGGUGAGGAAAAAUGGACUCACUUUUCACCGUUUUCCUGCAUGGAGGACCAAAUAUCAGAUCACGAAGGUACGACGGAUGGCUGGAUUGCAGCGGUUCGUCGGAAAAGCAUUUCUUAUGAUCAUAUUUCUGCUGGAAUGAGAGUGUGUUCCUGUCAUCUCUACUCUUGUAAACCUGCUGACAACACAUCCCGAUUGGUCACCAUCUCUCUUCUUGGAUCAUUUGACAAAGAAAAUUUGUUCAAUGGAGUGGUUCCAUUUGUCCUGUGUCGGACUCAAACAAGCCCCUGCAGCAGACGCCAUCUGGGUCUGCCCUUCUCGUCGAUGAACUGCGGGCUUUUAACUUGUGAAAAUGCAAGAACUUUAAUGCACAUAUUUAUUCUGCCUGGCUAUUUAACUAUGGCCAGUGACGUUUUUUUUUUUUUUUUUUUUUUUAACCACUUUGACAAA